This 281-nucleotide long non-coding RNA is filed under the name Phoenix dactylifera (date palm). RNAcentral's name for it is "long non-coding RNA (PDAC_LNC017082)". The record is from RNAcentral. Lineage: Eukaryota; Viridiplantae; Streptophyta; Magnoliopsida; Arecales; Arecaceae.
GUUACCAAACAGCAAACAACUUUUUAUAAAAUUUCUACUUCGGACAGCUCUACUUCCAACAGCUAUCCUGCCAACAGCUCCCUCAAAUAGGACCUUAUACUAGCAUAAGUAUCACUGAAAAUUAAAGCACUACAUACGAGUGAGGUAGUUAAAUUGACCACAGCAAAGUCAUAUAGAUUAUAGCUUCAUUACAUCAACUACUUGAAAUUUACACUCACUGAUCUCCUCUUAUGCCAAUAAUAAAGAUUCAUAUGCUAAAUCCCAAUGGCAGAAAAAAUAAA